GGUCUAGUCGCCAAGUGGUAAGGCAAGAGUCUGCAAAACUCUUAUACGGCGGUUCGAUUCCGCCCUAGACCUCAA
RNAcentral lists this transfer RNA (75 nucleotides) under Candidatus Nomurabacteria bacterium RIFCSPHIGHO2_02_FULL_38_15. RNAcentral describes it as "tRNA-Cys". It matches the Rfam family "tRNA". From Rfam's summary of the family: Transfer RNA (tRNA) molecules are approximately 80 nucleotides in length. Lineage: Bacteria; Candidatus Nomuraibacteriota. The record is from RNAcentral.